Molecule: unclassified non-coding RNA, 402 nt
Filed under: soil metagenome
Description: partial contains 5.8S ribosomal RNA, internal transcribed spacer 2, and large subunit ribosomal RNA
Rfam family: 5.8S ribosomal RNA (bases 1-121)
Source: RNAcentral
GAUGAAGAACGCAGCGAAAUGCGAUAAGUAAUGUGAAUUGCAGAAUUCAGUGAAUCAUCGAAUCUUUGAACGCACCUUGCGCCCUUUGGCUAUUCCGAAGGGCAUGCCUGUUUGAGUAUCGUGUACACCUCAACUCUCAUGGUUUGCCAUGAUGAGCUUGGACUUUGGGGGUUUUGCUGGCCUUUGGUCGGCUCCUCUCAAACGGAUCAGCUUUCCAGUGUUUGGUGGCGUCACGGGUGUGAUAACUAUCUACGCCUGUGGUUUUCUGCCAGAUAACCUUCAGCGAUGGAGGUUCGCUGGGGCUCAUAAAUGUCUCUCUUCAGUGGAGACAGCUUUUUGGACGUUUGAUCUCAAAUCAGGUAGGACUACCCGCUGAACUUAAGCAUAUCAAUAAGCGGAGGA